This 823-nucleotide ribosomal RNA is filed under the name uncultured Planctomycetota bacterium. RNAcentral describes it as "bacterial SSU rRNA". It matches the Rfam family "Bacterial small subunit ribosomal RNA", at positions 68 to 896 of the family's 1533-position model. The record is from RNAcentral. Lineage: Bacteria; Pseudomonadati; Planctomycetota.
UCCCAACUUUGUAGCAAUACCGAGUUGGGGGAAGUGGCGAAAGGGGCAGUAAUGCGUGGGUAAUCUACCUCGGGGACGUGGAUAGCCAUUCUAACGAGUGGGUAAUACGCGGCGAUUUGGUUGAGGGGCAUCCCUUGGCCAGGAAAUGAAUUUCGCCUCGAGAGGAACUCACGUGAUAUUAGCUUGUUGGCGGGGUAACGGCCCACCAAGGCAAAGAUGUCUAGCGGGUGUGAGAGCACGACCCGCGCCACUGGCACUGAGACACUGGCCAGACACCUACGGGUGGCUGCAGUCGAGGAUCUUCGGCAAUGGGCGCAAGCCUGACCGAGCGACGCCGCGUGCGCGAUGAAGGCCUUCGGGUUGUAAAGCGCUGUCGAGGGGGAGGAAGCCGAAAGGUUGACCUAUCCCUGGAGGAAGGACGGGCUAAGUUCGUGCCAGCAGCCGCGGUAAGACGAACCGUCCUAACGUUGUUCGGAAUCACUGGGCUUAAAGGGCGCGUAGGCGGCUUGCCAAGUCCGGGGUGAAAUCCUGCAGCUUAACUGUAGAAGGGCCUUGGAUACUGGCAAGCUCGAGGGAGGUAGGGGUCGCUGGAACUUCCGGUGGAGCGGUGAAAUGCGUUGAUAUCGGAAGGAACGCCGGUGGCGAAAGCGAGCGACUGGACCUCUUCUGACGCUGAGGCGCGAAAGCUAGGGGAGCAAACGGGAUUAGAUACCCCGGUAGUCCUAGCCCUAAACGAUGGGUACUAGAUUGUAGACUUAACAUGGGUUUACAAUCGAAGCAAAAGUGUUAAGUACCCCGCCUGGGGAGUAUGGUCGCAAGGCUG